This 90-nucleotide unclassified non-coding RNA is filed under the name Pseudomonas mediterranea. Lineage: Bacteria; Pseudomonadati; Pseudomonadota; Gammaproteobacteria; Pseudomonadales; Pseudomonadaceae. The record is from RNAcentral.
UGUGGGAGCGAGCCUGCUCGCGAUAGCGCUGUGUCAGUCAGCAUUUUUUUCGAUUGACAUACCGCUAUCGCGAGCAGGCUCGCUCCCACA